This 76-nucleotide small RNA is filed under the name Plasmodium falciparum 3D7. RNAcentral's name for it is "Pfa-mtR6023". Lineage: Eukaryota; Apicomplexa; Aconoidasida; Haemosporida; Plasmodiidae. The record is from RNAcentral.
AGGUGUAUUUUUAGCAAGUCGAUAUACACCAGAUGUUUCAUAUGCAUAUUAUAGUAUACAACACAUUUUAAGAGAA